GACUGCUUUCGCACAGUAACACUGACAAUGAUAAUUAUACACUUCCCCUGUACUUUGACAUGGUUGACGUGUAGUUUAUAGAAGCUUCGAUUCUGUGUACCUUCAAGAGAAGUUUUUUCGAUUCCAAGCUUUUUGUUCGUUUCGUAUAGAAGUUUAUGUUCGUUAAGUGUGUCGACUUUCGGUACUACGCUGCGAAUGUUAAUAAGGUGGACAGUGUAAAUAACGGUGACAUAACUGAAAUGAAGGUUAUGUGCCCGGUCUAUACAAUUUUGAGAUUAUGUUGUUUUUGGUAAUUACUAUAAGUAUACAAGUGCUCUGUUGACAAACUCGAUGAUCACCGAUGUUGACAUGGGAUCAAGAUCGCAUUUACGUAUUUAUGUUUAUCAUAUUAUUUUAAUUGGAACUAGGUAUAUACGAAUAAUUAAAUAUAAUGUUAAAUUUCCAUCUUGACACUUUCUAGAGGCAUCGGCUAAAGUUAUUACACAGACUGGAAGCGAAAAGUAGGAAACUGUCGAGGAAAAGGCAGCCGGACACCUUUCUCGUUAAUAGAGAACGGCGGAACUCUUUCUAUCAACUUUCUAGUCCCGUCACGGCAAUUAGCAAAGUACCUGCACGUGCGGAUAAAUCCUCUCGUGGCAGAAGCGCGACUUAUUUAUGACCAUCCGCGUCCCGAGACCCGACUAAAGGGUUAAAAGCGAAACAAUGCCACGGUCGACAUUGUUUUGAUGCGGUCAGAACUGAGGAAGAUCGGUGAAAAGGCGCAUAAACCCUCACGUCGUGUGCCAGUUUUCCCAAACGGAAGCUUCGACGUGAAACUCGUUGGUUUUUCCAUCCGCUGACAUUUUCUCUCUGUACGAAAAUUGCCAAUAAAAAGAUUUGUCUGUUCGACCGCUAGAAUUCUUGCGGCUUGGAUAAAAUUUUCUAAUUUGAUGCAAAGAUCGAUAUUUGUUGUCGAGUUUUUUUUUAGGAAGAAUCGAUAAUAUUAGCUUUUCAUUUCUCUUCUCUUUCCAAAAUCUUUUUCUUUUGAUAUGAAAUAUGUUAAUUCAAGAUGCAGUUUGAAUUUCACAAAAUUUUAAUUUAAUAUUGUGG
RNAcentral lists this unclassified non-coding RNA (1089 nucleotides) under Bombus terrestris (buff-tailed bumblebee). RNAcentral describes it as "misc RNA ENSBTSG00005026159.1". The record is from RNAcentral. Lineage: Eukaryota; Metazoa; Arthropoda; Insecta; Hymenoptera; Apidae.